AGCUAAUAGAUACCCUGGUAGUCCACGCCCUAAACGAUGUCAACUGGUUGUUGGUCCUUCACUGGAUCAGUAAAACGAAAAGACUAAACGCGUGAAGUUGACCGCCUGGGGAGGUACGGCCGCAAGGUUGAAACUACAAAGGAAUUGACGGGGACCCGGCACAAGCGGUGGAUGAUGUGGUUUAAAUUUCGAUGCAACGCGAAAAACCUUAACCCACCUUUGUACAUGCACGGAACCUCGCAGAGAUGUGAGGGUGCCCGAAAGGGAGCCGUGACACAGGUGCUGCAUGGCUGUCGUCAGCUCGUGUCGUGAGAUGUUGGGUUAAGUCCCGCAACGAGCGCAACCCUUGUCAUUAGUUGCUACAUUCAGUUGGGCACUCUAAUGAGACUGCCGGUGACAAACCGGAGGAAGGUGGGGAUGACGUCAAGUCCUCAUGGCCCUUAUAGGUGGGGCUACACACGUCAUACAAUGGCCGGUACAAAGGGCUGCCAACCCGCGAGGGGGAGCCAAUCCCAUAAAACCGGGUCGUAGUCCGGAUCGCAGUCUGC
RNAcentral lists this ribosomal RNA (548 nucleotides) under uncultured bacterium. Its description in RNAcentral is "bacterial SSU rRNA". It matches the Rfam family "Bacterial small subunit ribosomal RNA", at positions 767 to 1308 of the family's 1533-position model. The record is from RNAcentral.